RNAcentral lists this ribosomal RNA (1480 nucleotides) under uncultured Bordetella sp. RNAcentral describes it as "partial 16S-23S ribosomal RNA intergenic spacer". It matches the Rfam family "Bacterial small subunit ribosomal RNA". Lineage: Bacteria; Pseudomonadati; Pseudomonadota; Betaproteobacteria; Burkholderiales; Alcaligenaceae. The record is from RNAcentral.
GGUUUGGAUUCUGGCUCGAUUGAACGCUUGGCGGAUGGCACAUGCGGUGUUUCAUCCGCAGCACGGACUGGUUCCAGACAGGCGAACGGGUGAGUAAUGUAUCGGAACGUGCCUAGUAGCGGGGGGAUAACUACGCGAAAAGCGGUAAGAAGACACUGCGACACACUUCUUCGGGGGAAAGUGGACCUUCUGGGCCUCGCAAUUAGGAGUUGCCAUUGAUAUCGGAUUAGCCAGUUGUGGGCAACGGGCUCGCCAUGACGAUCCGUGGUGCUGUUUGAGAUGACGGGAAUUCAGCCACACUGGGACCGAGGACACGGCCCAGACUCCUACGGGAGGCAGCAGUGGGGGAAUUUUGGACAAUGGGGGAAACCCUGAUCCAGCCAUCCUGCGUGUGCGAUGAAGGGCCUUGGCUGGUAAAGCACUUUUGGCAGGAAAGAACGCGGCACGGGAUAAUACCCCGUGCAACUGAUUUGGCAUUUCCAGAAUAAGCACCGGCUAACCACGUGCCAGCAGCCGCGGUAAUACGGGUGCAAGCGUUAAUCGGAAUUACUGGCGUAAAGCGUGCGCAGGCGGUUCGAAAAAGAAAGAUGUGAAAUCCCAGAGCUUAACUUUUGAACCGCAUUUUUAACUACCGAGCUAGAGUGUGUCAGAGGGAGGUGGAAUUCCGCGUGUAGCAGGAAUGCGUAGAUAUGUGCGGGAGGAACAACGAUGGCGAAGGCAGCCUCCGGGAUAACACUGACGCCUUAUGCACCGAAAAUGUGGGGAGCAAACAGGAUUAGAUGCCUGGUAGUCCACGCCCAAACGAUAAGCCAACUGGCCGUUGGGGCCCGGCCCGGUAGCGCAGCUAACGCGCAGUGAAGUUGAAUCGCCUGUGUGAGCAUUGGCCUAAGAGAUUAAAAACCAAAGGAAUUGACGGGGACCCGCACAAGCGGUGGAUGAUGUGGAUUAAUUUGAUGCAACGCGAAAAACCUUACCCACCCUUGACACACUAAACCUGAAGAUCGGGGAGUGCUCGCAAGAGAACCGGAACACAGGUGCUGCAUGGUCUGUCGCUCAACUCGUGUCGUGAGAUGUUGGGUUAAGUCUCGCAACGAGCGGAACCUUGUUUGCUUAGUUGCUGCGAGCGUAAGGACUUAAUGAGACUGCCGGUGACAAACCGAGGAAGUGUGGGGACGACGUCAAGUCCUCAUGGCCCUGUAGGCUUCGACGUCAUACAAUGGUCGGGAUAGAGGGUCGCCAACCUCAUGAGGGGAGCCAACCUGAAACCCGAUCGUAGUCCGGAUCAGUCUGCAACUCGAUCCAGGUAGCCGGAAUCGCUAGUAAUCGCGGAUCAGCAUGUCGCGGUGAAAUACGUUCCCGGUCUUGCACACACUGCCCGUCACAUCACGGGAGGGCUUUACCAGAAGUAGGCCUAACCGUAAGGAGGGCGAUUACCACGGUAGGAUCUAUGACUGGGGUGAAGUCAGGCCAAGGUAGCUCG